UAGGCAACCUGAUGGAGACCUCCAUCUACCU
This 31-nucleotide non-coding RNA is filed under the name Mus musculus (house mouse). The record is from RNAcentral. Lineage: Eukaryota; Metazoa; Chordata; Mammalia; Rodentia; Muridae.